GAUGAACGCUGGCGGCGUGCUUAACACAUGCAAGUCGAACGAAGCACCUUGAUUCGAUUCUUCGGAUGAAGAUCUUGGUGACUGAGUGGCGGACGGGUGAGUAACGCGUGGGUAACCUGCCUCAUACAGGGGGAUAACAGAUAGAAAUGACUGCUAAUACCGCAUAAGACCACAGCACCGCAUGGUGCAGGGGUAAAAACUCCGGUGGUAUGAGAUGGACCCGCGUCUGAUUAGGUAGUUGGUGGGGUAACGGCCUACCAAGCCGACGAUCAGUAGCCGACCUGAGAGGGUGACCGGCCACAUUGGGACUGAGACACAGCCCAAACUCCUACGGGAGGCAGCAGUGGGGAAUAUUGCACAAUGGGGGAAACCCUGAUGCAGCGACGCCGCGUGAGCGAUGAAGUAUUUCGGUAUGUAAAGCUCUAUCAGCAGGGAAGAAAAUGACGGUGCCUGACUAAGAAGCACCGGCUAAAUACGUG
RNAcentral lists this ribosomal RNA (479 nucleotides) under uncultured bacterium. Its description in RNAcentral is "partial 16S ribosomal RNA". It matches the Rfam family "Bacterial small subunit ribosomal RNA", at positions 28 to 507 of the family's 1533-position model. The record is from RNAcentral.